RNAcentral lists this ribosomal RNA (447 nucleotides) under uncultured bacterium. RNAcentral's name for it is "bacterial SSU rRNA". It matches the Rfam family "Bacterial small subunit ribosomal RNA", at positions 355 to 825 of the family's 1533-position model. The record is from RNAcentral.
UCGGGAAUUUUGGGCAAUGGGGGAAACCCUGACCCAGCAACGCCGCGUGAAGGAUGAAGUAUUUCGGUAUGUAAACUUCGAAAGAAUAGGAAGAAUAAAUGACGGUACUAUUUAUAAGGUCCGGCUAACUACGUACCAGCAGCCGCGGUAAUACGUAGGGACCAAGCGUUGUUCGGAUUUACUGGGCGUAAAGGGCGCGUAGGCGGCAUGACAAGUCACUUGUGAAAUCUCUGGGCUUAACCCAGAACGGCCAAGUGAUACUGUCGCGCUAGAGUGCAGAAGGGGCAAUCGGAAUUCUUGGUGUAGCGGUGAAAUGCGUAGAUAUCAAGAGGAACACCUGAGGUGAAGACGGGUUGCUGGGCUGACACUGACGCUGAGGCGCGAAAGCCAGGGGAGCAAACGGGAUUAGAUACCCCAGUAGUCCCUGAGCGGGCUGGCAAGGCGCAU